UUUCUUGACCUUGUAAGGCCUU
RNAcentral lists this non-coding RNA (22 nucleotides) under Arabidopsis thaliana (thale cress). The record is from RNAcentral. Lineage: Eukaryota; Viridiplantae; Streptophyta; Magnoliopsida; Brassicales; Brassicaceae.